ACGCUAUCACUCCUACGGGAGGCAGCAGUAAGGAAUAUUGGACAAUGGGCGCAAGCCUGAUCCAGCCAUCCCGCGUGCAGGAAGACAGCCCUAUGGGUUUAAACUGCUUUUAGAAGGGAAGAAACGCCUACAUUUAUGUGGGCUUUGACGGUACCUUCAGAAUAAGCACCGGCUAACUCCGUGCCAGCAGCCGCGGUAAUUACGGAGGGUGCAAGCGUUAUCCGGAAUCAUUGGGUUUAAAGGGUCCGCAGGCGGUCAAUUAAGUCAGAGGUGAAAUCCUAUAGCUUAACUGUAGAACUGCCUUUGAUACUGGUUGACUUGAGUUAUACGGAAGUAGGUAGAAUGUGUAGUGUAGCGGUGAAAUGCAUAGUAUUACACAGAAUACCGAUUGCGAAGGCAGCCUACUACGUAUAUACUGACGCUCAUGGACGAAAGCGUGGGGAGCAAACAGGAUUAGAUACCCUGGUAG
Molecule: ribosomal RNA, 469 nt
Filed under: uncultured bacterium
Lineage: Bacteria
Description: bacterial SSU rRNA
Rfam family: Bacterial small subunit ribosomal RNA
Source: RNAcentral